ACUCUUUCUCUCUCUCUCUUUGUGUUCUCUAUUUUCCUCAAUUUCCCAGAUCUGUGUUAAACUAAACGUCGAACAUUUUUUUGGCGAGAAACUUGAAGGUUUAAUAAUUUGUACAAAUGGUUGGGUUUUAUGGAAUCUUAGGUUUGAUGUUGCCCAGAUGUGUAAAAUACUAUGGAACCGAUUGACACAAGAUAAGAAGAAUAAGAUGACGUUUUACAUUCGUCUCGAAUCUUCCAAGUAUAUGUACGAUGAAAACUUAAUCCACGUGUACACAUUUUCAAAGUCUACAUGUACACCAGAUCACAAAGCUUCACUAUCGUAUCCACAUGUACACCGGCUGGCAAGAUCUAUGUGUACACCACAAUUAUCACUUGCGUUAAUUGCUUAUUUUUAUUGAUUCCUGAGUGAUUGAGUUUUGUUGAAUUUGCAGAUAAUGCCUCGGAAAGCCUUUGUCACCACGAGUGCUUAUGUGAUUAGCUAAAUCCAUAGGUAAAGUUUUCGUUUUAGUUUAUGUUUAUGGUGUGAUUGGUUGAUUGUGAUCUGAAAGCUUUCUUGUGUGGAUCCUAGAGCUGCUUUGAUGCUGAUAUUGUGCUCGAAGCUAAUUUGUUUCCAGUGAUGUAGGGUUAUAUAGGUUCUGUUCGAAAAAGAAAAAAGAGAAUCUAUGGACUACAAAAGAGGAGGAUGUGCCGAUGAAGAUAAUGAGAUUCUCUUUAUGGUAGCAGUUUCUUCUAUGUUAACUACAAAAGGAGACCAAAGAUGCAAAAAUGGGUAGACACUUGCAUCGCAUCUUGGGGUUACUAGAGGAGGCAAAAUCAGUUUCUUUAUAUUGUAAUCUGCUACCGGAACUAUUGAACAUUCAUGUUCGUUUCCUUUUCUAGUAUCGGAGAAAUUAUGAUGCUUUUAGAGGUUUUUUUUUUGUUCACUAAACAAGUUUUAUUAA
Molecule: long non-coding RNA, 940 nt
Organism: Brassica oleracea var. oleracea
Lineage: Eukaryota; Viridiplantae; Streptophyta; Magnoliopsida; Brassicales; Brassicaceae
Exons: 3
Source: RefSeq, a predicted model, not a curated record